AGUCGCCUAGGGAGGCAACAGUGAGGAAUAUUGGUCAAUGGGCGGGAGCCUGAACCAGCCAAGCCGCGUGAGGGAAGAAGGUACAGCGUAUCGUAAACCUCUUUUGUCAGGGAACAAAGGCGGGGACUAGUCCCCGGAUGAGGGUACCUGAAGAAAAAGCAUCGGCUAACUCCGUGCCAGCAGCCGCGGUAAUACGGAGGAUGCGAGCGUUAUCCGGAUUUAUUGGGAUUAAAGGGUGCGCAGGCGGCCUGUUAAGUCAGCGGUAAAAGCCCGGGGC
Molecule: ribosomal RNA, 277 nt
Filed under: uncultured bacterium
Lineage: Bacteria
Description: partial 16S ribosomal RNA
Rfam family: Bacterial small subunit ribosomal RNA
Source: RNAcentral